RNAcentral lists this ribosomal RNA (486 nucleotides) under uncultured bacterium. Its description in RNAcentral is "bacterial SSU rRNA". It matches the Rfam family "Bacterial small subunit ribosomal RNA", at positions 28 to 486 of the family's 1533-position model. The record is from RNAcentral.
GACGAACGCUGGCGGCGUGCUUAACACAUGCAAGUCGAACGAGAGGAGAAGGAAGCUUGCUUCUUUCAAAUCUAGUGGCAAACGGGUGAGUAACACGUAAACAACCUGCCUUCAGGAUGGGGACAACAGACGGAAACGACUGCUAAUACCGAAUACGUUCCUUAGGUCGCAUGAUCUUAGGAAGAAAGGGUGGCCUCUACCUGUAAGCUAUCGCCUGAAGAGGGGUUUGCGUCUGAUUAGGUAGUUGGUGAGGUAACGGCCCACCAAGCCGACGAUCAGUAGCCGGUCUGAGAGGAUGAACGGCCACACUGGAACUGAGACACGGUCCAGACUCCUACGGGAGGCAGCAGUGGGGAAUCUUCCGCAAUGGACGAAAGUCUGACGGAGCAACGCCGCGUGAACGAUGACGGCCUCGGUUGUAAAGUUCUGUUAUACGGACGAAUGGUACGACGGUCAAUACCGUCGUAAGUGACGGUACCGUAAGAG